This 250-nucleotide unclassified non-coding RNA is filed under the name Hevea brasiliensis (rubber tree). Lineage: Eukaryota; Viridiplantae; Streptophyta; Magnoliopsida; Malpighiales; Euphorbiaceae. The record is from RNAcentral.
GCUCAAUUUCAAGCCCAGUUCAGCGUGUAGCCUUCCAACUUGAUAUUCAUACUCCUAUGUUCAAAAUUCAACAUGGUAUCAGAGCAAGUCAGUGCCUAAUUUUAGUUUCAGUUCAAUUUUUUGGUGUUGCCGCUGCAUUUCAGUUUCAGUUAUCAACCGGAUGUCCCAGUUGCCAAUUAAGGGGGAGUGUUGAAAUAUCAUUUGUGGGAAUAAGUCCCACAUUGGCCAUGUACAAGAAAAUUAAAGGGCA